GUAACGAAUAUUCCGCAAUGCGCGAAAGCGUGACGGAGCGAUGCCGCGUGCAGGAUGAAGCCCUUCGGGGUGUAAACUGCUGUCAGGGUUUAGCAACACAAUGAGCAAAUCCAGAGGAAGAGGCGGCUAACUCUGUGCCAGCAGCCGCGGUAAUACAGAGGCCUCAAGCGUUAAUCGGAGUCACUGGGCUUAAAGGGUGCGUAGGCGGGUCCGCAAGUGCUUUGUGAAAUCCCACGGCUCAACCGUGGAAUUGCUUGGCAGACUGCGGGUCUUGAGGUCGGUAGAGGUCGCUGGAACUCUAGGUGGAGCGGUGAAAUGCGUAGAUAUCUAGAGGAACGCCGAAGGUGAAGACAGGCGACUGGGCCGAUUCUGACGCUGAGGCACGAAAGCGUGGGGAGCAAACGGGAUUAGAAACCCUUGUAGUCC
RNAcentral lists this ribosomal RNA (426 nucleotides) under uncultured bacterium. RNAcentral's name for it is "bacterial SSU rRNA". It matches the Rfam family "Bacterial small subunit ribosomal RNA", at positions 354 to 796 of the family's 1533-position model. The record is from RNAcentral.